RNAcentral lists this long non-coding RNA (840 nucleotides) under Phascolarctos cinereus (koala). Its description in RNAcentral is "lncRNA (ENSPCIG00000016318.2)". Lineage: Eukaryota; Metazoa; Chordata; Mammalia; Diprotodontia; Phascolarctidae. The record is from RNAcentral.
GAAUGGUUUUUCAAAAUUUUAUCUUCUCUUCUUUCCUCAUGCUUGCACCACCCCCAAUUCCACCCUAGGUUACUACUACUGACCCCCUGCAUUGUUCCAGUCCCCUCCAGAAGGCAGUUUCACCCACUUUAGGAACCUAUGGUAUACACCUAUAGCCACUCACCUUUGCAAAUGAAAGGAGGUCUGCAAUUUAAUUGGAUUUGUCCAGGAAAAUCAAGCUACAAGAAGAAGCUCCAUAAUAAAAUAAUCAGGCUUUUUUACCUUUUCCUAUUCCUCCUCUUUCUCUGCCCCCUUCCCCAAACUGCCAGGCUGUUAUCUCCCUUUAGAUCCCUGUGUGGGAUGUGACUAAGUUUCAAAAUAAGGGAGGGGGGAACUACCUUUAAAGGAAUGGGCUUGGUGGGGGAAAGAUGGAGGAAAUUGGGGGUGGAGAUGGGCAGAGGAACAAGGGAGAAGUGGAUGUAACUGUGGAAUGUAGCUAAUAUCACAGCUGCUGUCACCAAGGUGGUGGGGGUGGCUUUCCUCUCCUCCUCCUCCUCUUCUUCGCUUCCUUCUCCUCCCCCCUCCCCUCUAAGUCCCAGGCAGCAGCAGCGGUCCAACCACCACCAAAGAAGCUGCCGGCUGUAUAAGCAGCACUCUUUGUCUCCUGAUCCUGGACAAUCCCCACUCCCCCUCCCUCCUUCGGUGAUAUCCUGCAGAUGUAAGUCUCAUUUACCCUGGGCUAGGGUUUGAGGACUGUAUGGGAAGUAGGGGCAGGACACAGGCACUUUAAAUUGGACCCCAGCCCCCAUCCAUCUGCUGCUCCAUCUUGUCCCCCAAGCCCUACAAGUGGGUCUAUGGGUG